RNAcentral lists this ribosomal RNA (116 nucleotides) under Agrypnus politus. RNAcentral describes it as "partial 16S ribosomal RNA". The record is from RNAcentral. Lineage: Eukaryota; Metazoa; Arthropoda; Insecta; Coleoptera; Elateridae.
AAAGUUUCAAAAGUCGAACAGACUUAAUAACUAAGCUACUGCGCCCAGCAUUAACUUUAAUCCAACAUCGAGGUCGCAAACUUCCCCUUUGAUUAGAACUCUAAAGAGAAAUUACG